GAUGAACGCUGGCGGCGUGCCUAAUACAUGCAAGUCGAGCGAACAGACGAGGAGCUUGCUCCUCUGACGUUAGCGGCGGACGGGUGAGUAACACGUGGAUAACCUACCUAUAAGACUGGGAUAACUUCGGGAAACCGGAGCAAAUACCAGUUAAUAUAUUGAACAUCAUGGUUCAAUAGAGAAAGACGGUUUUGCUGUCACUUAUAGAUGGAUCCGCGCCGCAUUAGCUAGUUGGUAAGGUAACGGCUUACCAAGGCAACGAUGCGUAGCCGACCUGAGAGGGUGAUCGGCCACACUGGAACUGAGACACGGUCCAGACUCCUACGGGAGGCAGCAGUAGGGAAUCUUCCGCAAUGGGCGAAAGCCUGACGGAGCAACGCCGCGUGAGUGAUGAAGGUCUUCGGAUCGUAAAACUCUGUUAUUAGGGAAGAACAAAUGUGUAAGUAACUAUGCACGUCUUGACGGUACCUAAUCAGAAAGCCACGGCUAACUACGUG
RNAcentral lists this ribosomal RNA (497 nucleotides) under uncultured bacterium. RNAcentral describes it as "partial 16S ribosomal RNA". It matches the Rfam family "Bacterial small subunit ribosomal RNA", at positions 28 to 507 of the family's 1533-position model. The record is from RNAcentral.